RNAcentral lists this non-coding RNA (29 nucleotides) under Mus musculus (house mouse). The record is from RNAcentral. Lineage: Eukaryota; Metazoa; Chordata; Mammalia; Rodentia; Muridae.
UGAACCAAACGUGCUGGCAAAGAAGUGGU